Molecule: transfer RNA, 75 nt
Filed under: Bacteriophage sp.
Description: tRNA-Gln
Rfam family: tRNA
About the family: Transfer RNA (tRNA) molecules are approximately 80 nucleotides in length. Their secondary structure includes four short double-helical elements and three loops (D, anti-codon, and T loops). Further hydrogen bonds mediate the characteristic L-shaped molecular structure. tRNAs have two regions of fundamental functional importance: the anti-codon, which is responsible for specific mRNA codon recognition, and the 3' end, to which the tRNAs corresponding amino acid is attached (by aminoacyl-tRNA synthetases). tRNAs cope with the degeneracy of the genetic code in two manners: having more than one tRNA (with a specific anti-codon) for a particular amino acid; and 'wobble' base-pairing, i.e. permitting non-standard base-pairing at the 3rd anti-codon position.
Source: RNAcentral
GCGGGUGUAGCCAAAAGGCAAGGCACGGGACUUUGACUCCCGUAUGUGCUGGUUCGACUCCAGCCGCCCGUUCCA